Molecule: long non-coding RNA, 120 nt
Organism: Thalassophryne amazonica
Lineage: Eukaryota; Metazoa; Chordata; Actinopteri; Batrachoidiformes; Batrachoididae
Exons: 3
Source: RefSeq, a predicted model, not a curated record
UCUCCAUUGUCCUGACCACAAAACCAAAGUUUGGAGGUCAAGACCACUCUUUUCUCUUUUGAUUGGUUGUGAAGAAAUGGGAAAUUAUGGUUUGAACCCAGUAACAAGACAAAAGUGAAA